GUUAUAACCGGCGAUUUCCGAAUGGGGAAACCCAGUGUGAUUCGUCACACUAUCAUUAACUGAAUCCAUAGGUUAAUGAGGCGAACCGGGGGAACUGAAACAUCUAAGUACCCCGAGGAAAAGAAAUCAACCGAGAUUCCCCCAGUAGCGGCGAGCGAACGGGGAGGAGCCCAGAGCCUGAAUCAGCAUGUGUGUUAGUGGAAGCGUCUGGAAAGGCGCGCGAUACAGGGUGACAGCCCCGUACACAAAAGCGCAUGUGCUGUGAGCUCGAUGAGUAGGGCGGGACACGUGGUAUCCUGUCUGAAUAUGGGGGGACCAUCCUCCAAGGCUAAAUACUCCUGACUGACCGAUAGUGAACCAGUACCGUGAGGGAAAGGCGAAAAGAACCCCGGCGAGGGGAGUGAAAAAGAACCUGAAACCGUGUACGUACAAGCAGUGGGAGCACAGGUUUACCUGUGUG
Molecule: ribosomal RNA, 460 nt
Filed under: Salmonella enterica subsp. enterica serovar Alachua
Lineage: Bacteria; Pseudomonadati; Pseudomonadota; Gammaproteobacteria; Enterobacterales; Enterobacteriaceae
Description: partial 23S ribosomal RNA
Rfam family: Bacterial large subunit ribosomal RNA
Source: RNAcentral